Molecule: ribosomal RNA, 605 nt
Filed under: uncultured Azovibrio sp.
Lineage: Bacteria; Pseudomonadati; Pseudomonadota; Betaproteobacteria; Rhodocyclales; Rhodocyclaceae
Description: bacterial SSU rRNA
Rfam family: Bacterial small subunit ribosomal RNA
Source: RNAcentral
UGCAGUCGAACGGCAGCGGGGGUGCUUGCACCUGCCGGCGAGUGGCGAACGGGUGAGUAAUGCAUCGGAACGUACCCAGUCGUGGGGGAUAACGCAGCGAAAGCUGUGCUAAUACCGCAUACGUCCUGAGGGAGAAAGCAGGGGAUCUUCGGACCUUGUGCGAUUGGAGCGGCCGAUGUCAGAUUAGCUAGUUGGUGAGGUAAAAGCUCACCAAGGCGACGAUCUGUAGCUGGUCUGAGAGGAUGAUCAGCCACACUGGAACUGAGACACGGUCCAGACUCCUACGGGAGGCAGCAGUGGGGAAUUUUGGACAAUGGGGGCAACCCUGAUCCAGCCAUGCCGCGUGAGUGAAGAAGGCCUUCGGGUUGUAAAGCUCUUUCAGCCGGGAAGAAAUCGUGCAGGCUAAUACCCUGUAUGGAUGACGGUACCGGAAUAAGAAGCACCGGCUAACUACGUGCCAGCAGCCGCGGUAAUACGUAGGGUGCGAGCGUUAAUCGGAAUUACUGGGCGUAAAGCGUGCGCAGGCGGUUUUGUAAGACAGGCGUGAAAUCCCCGGGCUCAACCUGGGAACUGCGCUUGUGACUGCAAGACUAGAGUACGGCAGA